CCCUAUUAUGUAUUUAUUAAAUAAAUUAGUAAUUUAUGAAAAUUAAUAAUACUGGCGGUUGAUUGGAGAUUAGGGGAGCUUGUUUAAUUUUAAGAUUUUACUCUUUAUAUUUUAAUAUUUUUUUGUUUAUACAUCUCUGUUAUUAAAUUGGUGAUUGAAAUUAAUUAAUAAUUAGAAUUUCAGGUCAAGAUGUAACAUUAAAUAUUAGAAAUUAGCUACAUUUAUAAAAUAAUGGAAUUUAGUAUAUAAUUAUUAAUUUAAAUUGAACUUAGUCGUAAUAUUAAUUAGAAUAUUAUUAUGAUUUUGAACAAUUAAUGUA
Molecule: ribosomal RNA, 319 nt
Filed under: Daguerreia inermis
Lineage: Eukaryota; Metazoa; Arthropoda; Arachnida; Opiliones; Gonyleptidae
Description: partial 12S ribosomal RNA
Source: RNAcentral